RNAcentral lists this long non-coding RNA (7595 nucleotides) under Lactuca sativa (garden lettuce). Its description in RNAcentral is "long non-coding RNA (LSAT_LNC008864)". Lineage: Eukaryota; Viridiplantae; Streptophyta; Magnoliopsida; Asterales; Asteraceae. The record is from RNAcentral.
GUUUACAUUACAAUAUAUCAAAGUAAUAUAGGCUAAUGUAAUAAGCACAACAAGGUACUAAGCCAUCUUCAUCAACAACUCCGGGGGUGUACCUGUCUAAUUGCUGAUCUGAGAAUAUAAGUUAUUUGAAAAGCGAGUAUCAGCAUUUUUACAAAUGUUGGUGAGUUCAUAAGUAUUUAGUGUCAUUUAGUCAAAUAACAUUAUGAAGUAAUAGUUUAAGUGUUACAGUGCAUUAGAAUUCUUUCUAGAAAAUCCUAUAUUUUCUUUAAUAAAAGCAGCCUUCUACCAAGACUGGUUAGUGUUAUGUGGUAAAAAGUAGUUUUCCCUAAAUUUCUGUCAUUAUCAAAAUACUGAAUUUGGUUAUUGACGAAAGCAAAUGACAUCAGGGAAUAACAUAUGCCUCAGCAGUGAGGACUGUUNCAAAUGAAAGGCACAGCUGGUAAGGUCUAAAACAGUGAAUACAGACCGCAGACAAUACCAACUGAAUGAUACGUCUAGCAAGGUCUAAAAUAGUGAAGACCGUGAAUACAGUGGAUACAGACCCCAGACAGCAUCAAAUGAAUGAUGCGUCUAGUAAGGUCAAAACAGUGAAAACAGACCCCAGAAUUGCUGGCAAAAUACCGUUACCUUAAGGCCAAUGAAUUAUAAGGUAACUCGGGAUACUCGUAACCAUACUGACUAGAAUACCAGACGCCCUACAAGCGUCUAAAAUAUGACAUUUGUCACCCGUUGGCUUGGUAGGCCGGGACUGUAGCUAGCAGUCUGGGUGCGGGGUUGUCAAUCCCGUAUAGAUCUAUACACACAAUGUCCGCUCUCCCUAAAGGAGAUUCUGGUUACCAACUAGACGACGGAGAAGGCCGUGUCCUGAAGAUGCAUCCCAAAUAGUGGGUAGGGACUUCCAAAUAGUGGGUAGUGUGUUUCUAAUGUAAGUGCUGAACUAAAUGUAGAGACUCUUAACUGAACUGACUAGAGCAUACCUGUACGUCCAUACUCGUAUACAUAAUAUAUAACUAAUGAAUCAAACGACCUUCGGACGGCCAUUCGAUCCCACCAGACCACAUCUCAACGAAGAAAAGGAUAUAGGGCGGACAAGCCUUCCUAAGUCCUUCAAUUCAUUACUUAUAUGCAUCUAAACAAGCAUAGACAUACAUCUAACUAUAACUGAGUGUGUAACAAGUAGGAGUGAUUCUUGUGAAGUAGGAGUGUCUAACGAGUGAAGUAAGAGCGUUCAACAAGUGAAGUAGGAGCGUAUGAAGUAUAAGUGAAGUAGAAGCGAUAUCAAGUAUAAGUGAAGUAAGAGCGAUAUCAAGUAUAAGUGAAGUAGGAGCGAUAUCAAGUAUAAGUGAAGUAGGAACGUAUCACUAAGUAAGAGUGUGAACAAGUAUAAGCAUCCAUCAGGUAUGAAUGUAUCACGAAGUGGAAAUGUUAUCAAGUAUAAGUGUAUCUCGAAGUUGAAACAUUAUUGAGUAGAAGUGUAUCUCGAAGUGGAAACUUUAUCGAGUAGAAGUAUAAAACAUAGACGUAAACUUUGGAAAACCUUUAUCUUUUAAGAAAAUCACGACUUGGUAUACCCUUGUGAAACAAGUAUGAUUUAAAACUUUUAGAAAUUCUUUGGAAACCUUUCAUAAAUUAGUUUGAAAUGAAACUUUGAUAAAACAGCAAAAGUAAGAACUUGAACAAGUGAAAACCUUUUAGAAAACCAUUUAUAGUGUCCUACUCGGUAAAAUAGUAUACAGUGUGGUAAAUCCUUGUGCAUGCGGGUUAUCAAUCACAUGUGAUUGAUAUGAUAACUGGCAUGUUUAACUUGUAUUCCCCCCUAUAAAACAUGUAAAAACAUUAAAAGGUUCAUUCAGGGGUAUGAACUCACCUGGUGUAAGUAGGUCCGACGAGGGUGCCGGUUGGGUGGUCGGUGUCACGUAAAGACUCGAACACACUCAAUGACCUAUUUAACAUAUGAUAACAUAUGUUCACAUACAAUUAGUAUAUUUAAUACUAAUUAAACAAGUAUACGCGCUCAAAGGAGCGGAAAGCACUUUGAUUAAGUGUUUGGGGUGUCCCGGGUAGUGUCUAAAGGUGUGUAUGGCUUAGGAAUGGAGUUUACUCUCCGAGAGUAAACCCUUAAUAUGUUGUUUACGGCCCAGGGACUACUCACCAUGAGUUUAUGGCCGGAAACUCAUGGUGAAGGGUUCUAGUGUGUUUAAGGCUUCUAGCUUGCUCAUGGAAUUAUUCUAAGUCCAAAACUAUAUAGUGUGAAUGAGUUUAAGGUCUUUCAGGGCUCCAUUAGGGAGUUUAUGGCCCAGGGACAACUCCUAAGGGAGUUUACAGCCGUAAACUCCUAUGCCUUUAGUUAAGUAAAGUUUUAAGCCCCUAAUACCCUCCUAGCAAUUUAUAGAAAUAGUCUAAGGCCAUUUGGGGGGCAAAAACCACAUUUUUGGCUUGGUUUGGGGAGUUUACGACCUUGACACAUGUCUGGGCCAUAAACUCCUUUUAAUCCUCCAAAUCCUUAUGUUUAAAUGAUCUAAACCCAAGAGGACAAGCCCUUAAUUUAUGUGUUAAGCCCUAGGGUGAUUUAGGAGUGUUUUUGGGACAUUUAGACAAGGUUUAGAGGUGUUUACGGCCUUGGCAUACGCCUGGGCCGUAAAGUCCCUUUUAUGUCCCAUUUUGAUUGUUUUAAAUGAUCAAACACUCCUAGGCUAAAUCCUCAAUUUAUUUCCAAGCCAUUAGGGACAAGUUUGAGUCAUUUUGGCCUUGAUUAAGGGGUUUACGGCCUAAGGAGGAGCUUAGGCUGUAAACUCCUCUUUCACAACUUCUAUGUCCGAAUUCUAAGCUAUAAACAUGAAUCAAUAUGUUUAGAACAAGCUAGGAUAAGCGGACUUACGAUUUGGAAGCGUUUGGUUGUGGAUUCGGGUCGAAAACGAGUAUAGUGAGAGAGUAUAGAGAGAGAGGGUGGAAAAGAGCUCAAAUGGAGUUUACUCCCCCUUAUAUAUGGGUGGGAGUUGGAGCUCAGUGGAAUUCUACCCAAUACUGCCGUUAUGCGGGGCUUUUGGUCGCACCCUAUUUAGUGGUCGCAAUAAUAAAAACUAACUUUUCCAACUAAAUGGAAAUGUGUGUUAUGUGUUUUUAUUUCCUUUAUCACGACUUAAUGACAUAAAGAUAUAAAUAAAUGAAAUGUUUAUUUAAUUGACGACCUCUAAUUAACGGAACUUUUAUAAACUGGAAUAUUCCGUUAACGGUAGCGGAACAAUUUGGGUUGUCACAUCAUCCCCCCGUUAAAGGGAAUUUCGUCCCGAAAUUCAGGUCUAGGCAAGGGAGUAGGUAUGAAUGGCCAAGUAGAGGUAAGGGAGUACUUCCUAUACGGUUGUCCUCGCAUUCCCAAGUGAUCUCUGGUCUGUGUUUGUCAUUCCAACAGACCUCACAUACGGGAUGCGGAUUCCGUCUCGUGUAGCUAGUGUGUUCCAACUAGUGUAUCUACAAGGUUAGGGUUCUCAAUGGAUUCUAUCAAGAUGAGUGAGGCACGAAGAGUGUUGUUGGGAAAUCACAUAUCAAGUCUAAGGAGUGGAUCGAUCGGGUGUGAAUCUUGUGGUAUAUCCGAAAGUAGUAGCGGCCUGAAAAGGGUUGGACCAUGUCUCCAUGAGGAUUCUCGGAUGGUCCUAGGCUCUCGGAAGGGUAGAGCCUUUCAGUACUUAGAACAUAGUGUACUUCUAUGGCAAGAUCGUCACUGGCGCGACCGGCACUCCGAAGUUCCUAACGUUCUCUCCCGUACUGGUAGUGUAGUCCUUCAGGUUGGUUCUUAGAAAGCUCGGGUGGUCUUUGGUUUCGCGUUUCCUAUCAACUGGUCAGAGACAUUCUAGAUCAUCGGAUGGGUUGCGUGACUAUGGUUAUCUGUUUGCUGUAGAGUGUCUAUCUCAAGCUUGUGCAAAGUGGACCUGCACUAACGAAUCUUGAGUCACGGAAACCCUGAGGGUCGGGGAGAUAGGGUUUCACCAGACGAGUGUUGGACUAUCUCAGGAGGUGGUUCUACUAUUUUUGGAUGAGAUAGUAUUUGUGGAAUCCCUAAUAGUCCAAUGAAUCUCUAAGCCUUUGGUUUAUUCUAGCGUGGAAAGUGCAUGCUCCUGUAUAACCCUUCAACUAACACCAGGACUGGUGUCAAGUCUAUAACCUCUUCGGGAUCUGGGUCAUGAGGCUUAACGCAACUACUUUCGCACUUUGAUCCAGUAUUCUUGGUUGCGAAGGUUAUCCUGUGGUUCUCGGUAUCCUAGUGUUCACUUCGGAGAAUGUAUUUUAUCGUCUAUAGGGCGACGACGGUUUCCUCCAUGCGAGAGGGUGGAGGACGAUAGGCACUGUUCGUCUAUAACAGGGUGGACGAAGUGCCUGAGUAGUGCGAGCAUCUACUGCAAAUACUAUUCCGAAGGUUCUGAGUUUCCUCGGUCUAGGUCAAAUCUAGUGAGUAUAGGGUUCCAUUACUCGGAACUUUAAUCUCCUCAUCCAUUCUUCUCGGAGUUUAACUCAUCGCAGCUUUAGGAUUACUGGAAUAUCCGCUGCGAUGCUUAAAUCGGGGGAUUGAGCGUGAAUGGAUGGUCGUAGUCAAUGUCCUUGACUCUUACGACUCGGAUUUCUUUACCAACCGAGGAUGUUAGCUACUAUGUUGGCUCAAACGGAAUGACAACAACUUUGGAUUUGUGGUCAUUAUAGUAACUCAAUCCGUAGGGGUUUUCUUGAAUUUAGCUCCCGUUCCAUGGGAUAGGAUGAAGGGUCUUUCUAGGGAAUCUACUAGGUAUGCUCCGGGUGGUUAUCAUCUUCUGGAGUAUCUGUAGUGUCGUUCAUUUCGGUGUCCAUCUGACUACGAGGGGUCGGUCAACAGCGUACGGUACCCUCUCUUGGGUACUUCAGAAGGUUUGAGAUAAGAGGGACGAUUGACGGAUCGCAUUAGGGUUGAUUAUUUGUGUUAGGUUUAGAUUCGGGAGAACCUUUGUUUGCCGACAUGGCUACGGAGAGAGUUCUUUUGACACAUCACUAGGGAUGAACACAUGGUUGCACGAAGUCAAACCAUGAUCAAUAAAGUUGUCGAAGUUGGCACACUCCGACAUGAUAUAUAAUGAAGAUCGGUAGAGUCAUGUGCUGAACAGGCACACAAGUUCUAGGCGUCUCGGGUUUCGUCAUGUGUAUCACUACCGCUGAUACCUGGACCGAUAGAGUCGACGCGGAUCUAUAGAGAGUUCUAAGUGUUUCCGAAUAGAGUACCUUUUCAUGAAUGGAUUCUCAUGAGGCAUUUCUAUAAUCGCCUAACAUAUACUAUUCAUGUAUAUUUAAGGUGGGGAGGACUGUUGACUGAGCGACUCCGCCCUAAAUCCACAACCAAACGAGGAACAGGAAAUGAGGCGGCCUUCACUCACUCUAGGUCUUUCCAUCUUAACUAUACAUGGCCGUAAUGUAUAUGGUUAGCCAUUAUAGUUUUACCUGAUGAAUUUUAAAUUUUAUAACAAUGCUAUGACUUUCGCCUUAAUGGGAAAUUUACAUUUUGAAUUAAUCUUUUAUUGUUUUUAAUUUAGUUAGCCGAGAUCGAGAGACGUACCAAAAAUCUACUGAGUUACCUUUAUACUGAGAAAGGUUUCACUCUCCAGCCUGGAGAGAUUUGAGAACAGUUCGGAACGAAGACCGCAGAAGGAAAGGCUCAUGGAGGCUUAUGGCUAAACAACCUCAACAGAGGUGCUGGGAUCCGCUCUAAUCGUGUAACUGGCAACGGGAAACGACGAUUUACCUAACACAUAGCAUGAGUAGUGUAACCACUAACUCACUAAAUUGUAUUAUUUUAAGGGUGUAUUAGCGUGACGAACACAAGGGAAAGGACAACUCUCGGGUCCCAUGUACUGGCUCCCUUGGUCUGCCUCGUAUCUUUGACUGGAAUCGGCGUUGGUUUCCUUCGGGUAGUUACCUAGGGUUCUCUCCUCGUAUGGACAUAUUGAAUUUCUACUCCGUCUUCCUUCUGAUUCCGACUCUGGGUGUCAUCACUUCAUGCUGGAUGACUGGGAAUCUCUGAAGUUUAGGCGAAUUUCUCACCGAUGUCCCUAAAAGAUAUGGGCACUUGGUGAAUUCAACAGUCUCGACCUAGUUCAUUCGUUUCCUAGCUGGAAAUCUUCUCGAUGAACUUCUUCGGGGUCGGACUCAACUCUUCUGUUAAGCACUGAAGUGGGUAGGGUUUUCUACAGGGUUCGUGCGAGAAUGGAAAUGUCUAAAGAAUCCUAAGAGAUUAUUAACAUUUCACUGGAUGAUCCAUAUCGAGUCCUGCUACGAUUACACAGGGUAUACAAAUCAUAUAUAAAUUAGAACCGAUAGGCCUUCGAAUAUGUGAUACUACUCUAGAGCCACAUCCUAACGAGGAAAAGGAAAUAGAGCGAAACCACACAUUCUUAGCCUAUGGGAUCCUUAUUAUAUAUAACCUUGGGAGUAUACCCUCUGUAGUUGUAGGUAUAUCAAUAAGGAUCUUUUUAGUUAUUCACGCAAGGUUGUUUAUGUGUCCUAAAAUACCCCUAUGGUAUUUUAAUUUCUUGUUUAGUUCUUAUCUUCUGAAUGUGAUUCUGGGAUUAGUGUGAAUCUUUUAGUGUUCUAAAAUACUCCUAUAGUAUUUUAACUUUAUGUUUGGCUCUAGCAUCCCUAGUUGGUAAGUUUCAGACCUGUUGUACACCACUAUCACUCCCAAGCACAUGUUCAUCGCAUCUUGGAUAAAUGUAGUUGAUCAGGUUACAUUUAUCCCAGCUUACGAUUACAUAACUGCCCAGGUUUGACGGUAAUGCUCAACAUCCGAAGACUUUUAUUCUUGUUCUUCUUGUGAUACUUUUGUUCGAGUGUUUAGAUUCUGGAUGUUAUUAUACUUUGGUAAAAUAUGGUUAUAUUUUAAAGUAUAAUUCUUGGUCAGAGUGUUUUAUCCCUUUGUGUUUAUAGGUUGUAUAUCUUUUAUGAAUUGAUAUACUUAGCUCACUAUAGACAAUGCUCUGAUACCAAUCUGUCACACCCCAAAACCGGAACGGCGGAAAGGUUCUGGGGUGGAUGACGUCAUGUCAAGUAUCACAACACAUGCAUUAUAGUAAUCAAAGUACAACAAAACAUUGCAUUAAUAGUAAUAAUUUUACAUGGUUUACAUUACAAUAUAUCAAAGUAAUACAGGCAAAUGUAAUAAGCACAACAAGGUACUAAGCCAUCUUCAUCAACAGCUAUGGGGGUGUACCUGUCUAAUUGCUGACCUGAGAAUACAAGUUAUUUGAAAAGCGAGUAUCAGCAUUUUUACAAAUGUUGGUGAGUUCAUAAGUAUUUAGUGUCAUUUAGUCAAAUAACAUUAUGAAGUAAUAGUUUAAGUGUUUACAGUGCAUUAGAAUUCUUUCCAGAAAAUCCUAUAUUUUCUUUAAUAAAAGCAGCCUUCUACCAAGACUGGUCAGUGUUAUGUGGUAAAAAGUAGUUUUCCCUAAAUUGCUGUCAUUAUCAAAAUACUGAAUUUGGUUAUUGACGAAAGCAAAUGACAUCAGGGAAUAACAUAUUCCUCAGCAAUGAGGACUGCUGACUAAGGCAAGGAAUCAUAGACUCCAGGAGAGUAUCGAACUAAC